ACUCCUACGGGAGGCAGCAGUAGGGAAUAUUGGACAAUGGGCGCAAGCCUGAUCCAGCCAUGCCGCGUGAGUGAAGAAGGCCCUCGGGUUGUAAAGCUCUUUUGUCCGGAAAGAAAAGCAUCGGGUUAAUACCCCGGUGUUCUGACGGUACCGGAAGAAUAAGCACCGGCUAACUUCGUGCCAGCAGCCGCGGUAAUACGAAGGGUGCAAGCGUUACUCGGAAUUACUGGGCGUAAAGCGUGCG
Molecule: ribosomal RNA, 244 nt
Filed under: uncultured bacterium
Lineage: Bacteria
Description: partial 16S ribosomal RNA
Rfam family: Bacterial small subunit ribosomal RNA
Source: RNAcentral